This 699-nucleotide ribosomal RNA is filed under the name uncultured bacterium. RNAcentral describes it as "bacterial SSU rRNA". It matches the Rfam family "Bacterial small subunit ribosomal RNA", at positions 61 to 775 of the family's 1533-position model. The record is from RNAcentral.
GUCGAGCGAGUUGAUUCUCUUCGGAGAUGAAGCUAGCGGCGGACGGGUGAGUAACACGUGGGCAACCUGCCUCAUAGAGGGGAAUAGCCUCCCGAAAGGGAGAUUAAUACCGCAUAACAUUGUAGCUUCGCAUGAAGUAGCAAUUAAAGGAGCAAUCCGCUAUGAGAUGGGCCCGCGGCGCAUUAGCUAGUUGGUGAGGUAACGGCUCACCAAGGCGACGAUGCGUAGCCGACCUGAGAGGGUGAUCGGCCACAUUGGGACUGAGACACGGCCCAGACUCCUACGGGAGGCAGCAGUGGGGAAUAUUGCACAAUGGGGGAAACCCUGAUGCAGCAACGCCGCGUGAGUGAUGACGGCCUUCGGGUUGUAAAGCUCUGUCUUCAGGGACGAUAAUGACGGUACCUGAGGAGGAAGCCACGGCUAACUACGUGCCAGCAGCCGCGGUAAUACGUAGGUGGCGAGCGUUGUCCGGAUUUACUGGGCGUAAAGGGAGCGUAGGCGGACUUUUAAGUGAGAUGUGAAAUACCCGGGCUCAACUUGGGUGCUGCAUUUCAAACUGGAAGUCUAGAGUGCAGGAGAGGAGAAUGGAAUUCCUAGUGUAGCGGUGAAAUGCGUAGAGAUUAGGAAGAACACCAGUGGCGAAGGCGAUUCUCUGGACUGUAACUGACGCUGAGGCUCGAAAGCGUGGGGAGCAAACAG